UCCUCGUUUAAGCGAGGCAGUCUGUCCAGAGUGCUUCCCGCUCUCGCGGGAUUGGCAACAGGACACAAGGGUUGCGCUCGUUGCGGGACUUAACCCAACAUCUCACGACACGAGCUGACGACAACCAUGCAGCACCUCUGUAGCGGCCUCCGAAGAGGAAGCCCUAUUUCUAGGGCGGUCCACUACAGUUCAAGCCCAGGUAAGGUUCUUCGCGUUGCAUCGAAUUAAACCACAUGCUCCACCGCUUGUGCGGGCCCCCGUCAAUUCCUUUGAGUUUCAGCCUUGCGGCCGUACUCCCCAGGCGGAACACUUAUCGCGUUGGCUGCGGCACCGAGGGAUUCGACUCCCCCAACACCUAGUGUUCAUCGUUUACGGCGUGGACUAC
Molecule: unclassified non-coding RNA, 385 nt
Filed under: uncultured bacterium
Lineage: Bacteria
Description: contains 16S-23S intergenic spacer region
Source: RNAcentral